This 595-nucleotide ribosomal RNA is filed under the name bacterium 21809. RNAcentral's name for it is "bacterial SSU rRNA". It matches the Rfam family "Bacterial small subunit ribosomal RNA", at positions 232 to 845 of the family's 1533-position model. The record is from RNAcentral. RNAcentral also lists the same sequence under 1 other name.
CGCGGCCUAUCAGCUUGUUGGUGGGGUGAUGGCCUACCAAGGCGGUGACGGGUAGCCGGCCUGAGAGGGCGACCGGCCACACUGGGACUGAGACACGGCCCAGACUCCUACGGGAGGCAGCAGUGGGGAAUAUUGCGCAAUGGGCGGAAGCCUGACGCAGCGACGCCGCGUGGGGGAUGACGGCCUUCGGGUUGUAAACCUCUUUCGCCAGGGACGAAGAGUGAUUGACGGUACCUGGAGAAGAAGCACCGGCCAACUACGUGCCAGCAGCCGCGGUAACACGUAGGGUGCGAGCGUUGUCCGGAAUUAUUGGGCGUAAAGAGCUCGUAGGCGGUGUGUCGCGUCGGCCGUGAAAACUUGGGGCUUAACUCUGAGCGUGCGGUCGAUACGGGCAUCACUUGAGUUCGGCAGGGGAGACUGGAAUUCCUGGUGUAGCGGUGAAAUGCGCAGAUAUCAGGAGGAACACCGGUGGCGAAGGCGGGUCUCUGGGCCGAUACUGACGCUGAGGAGCGAAAGCGUGGGGAGCGAACAGGAUUAGAUACCCUGGUAGUCCACGCCGUAAACGUUGGGCGCUAGGUGUGGGGACCAUUCCACG